AUGAGAUAUGGGUACACUGCACUUGUGUGAUAUGGUGCAGAUGUACGGUACACUUACUUGCUGUGUGAUCUGGUACAGAUGUACGAUAUAUUGUACUUGCUGUGUGAUUUAGUAUGUGUACAGUAUUCUGUGCUUACUGUGUGAUUUAGUAGAGGAUGGUUUUUAUAUGGUUUUAAAAAUAUAACGAAUGUGUUUCACUGACGUGAGUGAUGAUACUAUAUAUUGCAUGUAUUUAGCUAUCUGUCGUAAUAUUUGCUUAAU
Molecule: long non-coding RNA, 261 nt
Filed under: Carica papaya (papaya)
Lineage: Eukaryota; Viridiplantae; Streptophyta; Magnoliopsida; Brassicales; Caricaceae
Description: long non-coding RNA (CPAP_LNC005339)
Source: RNAcentral